UACCAAGCCUGCGAUCUGUAGUUGGUCUGAGAGGACGACCAGCCACACUGGAAACUGAGACACGGUCCAGACUCUUACGGGAGGCAGCAGUGGGGCAUUUUGGACAAUGGGCGCAAGCUUGAUCCAGCAAUGCCGCGUGCAGGAAGAAGGCCUUCGGGUUGUAAACUGCUUUUGUCAGGGAAGAAAUCCUUUGAGCUAAUACCUCGGGGGGAUGACGGUACCUGAAGAAUAAGCACCGGCUAACUACGUGCCAGCAGCCGCGGUAAUACGUAGGGUGCGAGCGUUAAUCGGAAUUACUGGGCGUAAAGCGUGCGCAGGCGGCUUUGCAAGACAGAUGUGAAAUCCCCGGGCUCAACCUGGGAACUGCAUUUGUGACUGCAAGGCUAGAGUACGGCAGAGGGGGAUGGAAUUCCGCGUGUAGCAGUGAAAUGCGUAGAUAUGCGGAGGAACACCAAUGGCGAAGGCAAUCCCCUGGGCCUGUACUGACGCUCAUGCACGAAAGCGUGGGGAGCAAACAGGAUUAGAUACCCUGGUAGUCCACGCCCUAAACGAUGUCAACUGGUUGUUGGACGGCUUGCUGUUCAGUAACGAAGCUAACGUCGUGAAGUUGACCGCCUGGGAGUACGGCCGCACGUUGAAACUCAAAGAUCGACGGGACCGCACAAGCGGUGGAUGAUGUGAUUUGAUUCGAUGCAACGCGUAACACCUUACCUACCCUUGACAUGUCAAGUAUUUUGCAGAGAUGUGAAAGUGCUUGAAAGAGAACUUGAACACAGGUGCUGCAUGGCCGUCGUCAGCUCGUGUCGUGAGAUGUUGGGUUAAGUCCCGCAACGAGCGCAACCCUUGUCAUUAGUUGCUACAUUCAGUUGGGCACUCUAAUGAGACUGCCGGUGACAAACCGGAGGAAGGUGGGGAUGACGUCAGGUCCUCAUGGCCCUUAUGGGUAGGGCUACACACGUCAUACAAUGGCCGGUACAGAGGGUUGCCAACCCGCGAGGGGGAGCUAAUCUCAGAAAACCGGUCGUAGUCCGGAUCGCAGUCUGCAACUCGACUGCGUGAAGUCGGAAUCGCUAGUAAUCGCGGAUCAGAAUGUCGCGGUGAAUACGUUCCCGGGUCUUGUACACACCGCCCGUCACACCAUGGGAGCGGGUCUCGCCAGAAGUAGGUAGCCUAACCGCAAGGAGGGCGCUUACCACGGCGG
Molecule: ribosomal RNA, 1201 nt
Filed under: uncultured bacterium
Lineage: Bacteria
Description: bacterial SSU rRNA
Rfam family: Bacterial small subunit ribosomal RNA
Source: RNAcentral